Long non-coding RNA from Panicum virgatum (switchgrass), 1934 nucleotides. RefSeq lists it as uncharacterized. Lineage: Eukaryota; Viridiplantae; Streptophyta; Magnoliopsida; Poales; Poaceae. The transcript has 2 exons. The record is from RefSeq and is a predicted model, not a curated record.
UGUACCUCAUUCUCUAUAUCGUAGAUGUAUAGCUGUGCCCAGCGUGGCUUGCUACCUUCUUCUGGCAGUAGAGUUCCAAUAUGAUGAUAGUUUUGGCCAUGCAUGCGGAAUACGUAUGGCCCAUGGCCUUUGUUUAUCUCUUUGUCUACAACCCCUCCUGUGGAUGUGAAUGAGAACAUUGAGUUGUAAGACCGGAUGUUUUCUCUGAAGUUUUUAGAAUCUUCUCCUUCACCAUUCAAAAGAUUGUCAAGAUAAUUCGGUGGAUUUUUGCGUGGAGGCAGUCUGAUUUUUCCUUGCUUGCAGCACAUUCCAAAAGCUGGUUUUUUAGUUUUGACUUUGGGUCUUAGUCUUUCCUCGUACCAUAGGAGAGCAUCGCAGUGUUCACAUCUGUAUUUUGGCUUUCCGAAGUUCCAUAUAUUACUUUCAGCAUCGCCCCUCUUCUGUGUUUCGCCAGAUGCAUUGCUACUGUUAUCUUGAUUUGCAUCUUCAUUGCAUGUUCUUGAACGCUUUGAUUUUCUCUUUUCUUUAAGUAUUUCUUUUCUCUUCAGUCUUGCCAGUCGAUAUUUCAUCUUGGUCGUUUCCUCUAUAGUGCAUGCUCUUUUUUUGCCCCUUUUAAGGUUUAGUUGUUCCUUCCUCCUCUUUCUGUUUUACGAUGCUUCUUCCUUUCGAUGGUUCUCCAUUAGUUUUUUUGCCUGUUUCAGAUGUAAAAUUAAGGCAACAUGAAAGAGAACAUGUUUCUUGUUAUAGACUUCAAUGUGUAGUAGCAGGCAUUAAAGAAAAUUAAAUUUUCAUGUAUUUUAAAUUUAUAUGUAGUAAUUUUAUUGUUUCGACUAACAUAAUUAUGCAUGAUAUGUAUAUGCAGUGCACUAAAGGCAUGAAAGAGAAGAGGUCCACAUGAUACUUGCCAGAGGAUGCAAUUGAAGAAUGCAGAAAGCUCUAUGGUGGACAUGGUUACUUGAACAGCAGUGGGCUUCCUGAAUUAUUUGCCGUCUAUGUUCCUGCAUGCACUUAUAAAGGAGACAUAUUGGUUGAGUAUGUGUGGCACGGCAUAUUGUAUUCCAUAGAAGCGGUUUUUGCCUUUGCCUCUACUACAUUUUGGCUAAUGGUGUAUUAAUAGGCAGCCUUCUGAUGGUGAUACCUGCAGGUUGCAAGGAUUCUAAUGAAGACUGUUUCUUAAUUGAUUUCAGAUGUAAAAUUAAGGCAACAUGAAAGAGAACAUGUAAAUAUUUUCUUGUUAUAGACUUCUAGCAGUUGCCGCCAAGGUAUUAAUAGAAUUUUCUUUAACCUGUUUUAGAUUUUGUAAAAAUACUAAGUACCAGAGCUAACUGAGCUAACAGAGCUUUCACAUUGACAGCUAAGGACUGGCCUGAUAAUAAUCAUGAUUUAAUUCUUAAGCUUUUUUAUCCUAACUUGUCCAUGUAGAUUCAUAAUUUUUUAUUGAAUAUGUAAUGUGUGGUUGCGUGGACCCAGAUACACUGGAACACAAUAUUAUUAUUAUUAUGUUUAUAACUUAGAGCCUAGUGCUCGUGUAAUCUUUUGUUUUUUUAAUUAUGUCUGUAAAUUGGUUAAUUUGCUGGAUUUAAAGAUUUCCUGUAUCCUGUUAUUUAUCCGGAUGUAUCCGAGCUUUAUAUUAGGAGGUUUUGAUUUGUUAUUUUGUUUUGGCAGGGUGACGCUGACAGCUCGUUGGACAGGCUGUGGCAGAAGAGGAAGGCUGACUAACAAAAUUAUGCAUGAUAUGUAUAUGCAGUGCACUAAAGGCAUGAAAGAGAAGAGGUCCGCAUGAUACUUGCGAGAAGUACACUCCAGUUUAGAUUUUUGUCUCCCACGAACUGUUGUGUUUCCCGAUGCUUUUUUUAAUGAAUUGUAAUGCUACAAAUAAAUAUGUUCGCAUAAGCAGCCAGUAAAGAAUAUGGUUUUUGAUUCUUGGAGCAGAA